UACGGAGGGUGCGAACGUUAAUCGGAAUUACUGGGCGUAAAGCGCGCGUAGGCGGUUUGGUAAGUGGGAUGUGAAAGCCCCGGGCUUAACCUGGGAACUGCAUUCCAAACUGCCGAACUAGAGUAUGGAAGAGGGAGGUAGAAUUUCCUGUGUAGCGGUGAAAUGCGUAAAUAUAGGAAGGAAUACCCGUGGCGAAGGCGGCCUCCUGGACCAAUACUGACGCUGAGGUGCGAAAGCGUGGGGAGCAAACAGGAUUAAAUACCCUGGUAGUCCACGCCGUAAACGAUGUCUACUAGCCGUUGGGGCCCUUGAGGCCUUAGUGGCGCAGCUAACGCGAUAAGUAGACCGCCUGGGGAGUACGGCCGCAAGGUUAAAACUCAAAUGAAUUGACGGGGGCCCGCACAAGCGGUGGAGCAUGUUGUUUAAUUCGAUGCAACGCGAAGAACCUUACCUCCCCUUGACAUCCUCAGAACUUGUCGGAGGCGACUUGGUGCCUUCGGGAACUGAGUGACAGGUGCUGCAUGGCUGUCGUCAGCUCGUGUCGUGAGAUGAUGGGUUAAGUCGCGUAACGAGCGCAACCCUUGUCCUUACUUGCCAGCGGGUCAUGCCGGGCACUUUAAGGAGACUGCCGGUGACAAACCGGAGGAAGGUGGGGAUGACGUCAAGUCCUCAUGGCCCUUACGGGGUGGGCUACAAACGUCCUUCAAUGGGGCGUACAGAGGGCUGCCACCCCGCGAGGGUGAGCGAAUCCCAAAAAGCCUCUCGUAGUCCGGAUCGGAGUCUGCAACUCGACUCCGAGAAGUCGGAAUCGCUAGUAAUCGCGAAUCAGAAUGUCGCGGUGAAUACGUUUCCGGGCCU
Molecule: ribosomal RNA, 858 nt
Filed under: uncultured bacterium
Lineage: Bacteria
Description: SSU rRNA
Rfam family: Bacterial small subunit ribosomal RNA
Source: RNAcentral